CACUCAAUAGCUUAAUUUUAAAGCAUUAAACUUUUAAUUUAAAGAUAAGAAAAACUUUUGUGUGA
This 65-nucleotide transfer RNA is filed under the name Chthamalus malayensis. RNAcentral describes it as "tRNA-Lys". It matches the Rfam family "tRNA". Rfam says of the family: Transfer RNA (tRNA) molecules are approximately 80 nucleotides in length. Their secondary structure includes four short double-helical elements and three loops (D, anti-codon, and T loops). Further hydrogen bonds mediate the characteristic L-shaped molecular structure. tRNAs have two regions of fundamental functional importance: the anti-codon, which is responsible for specific mRNA codon recognition, and the 3' end, to which the tRNAs corresponding amino acid is attached (by aminoacyl-tRNA synthetases). tRNAs cope with the degeneracy of the genetic code in two manners: having more than one tRNA (with a specific anti-codon) for a particular amino acid; and 'wobble' base-pairing, i.e. permitting non-standard base-pairing at the 3rd anti-codon position. The record is from RNAcentral. Lineage: Eukaryota; Metazoa; Arthropoda; Thecostraca; Balanomorpha; Chthamalidae.